RNAcentral lists this ribosomal RNA (226 nucleotides) under uncultured bacterium. RNAcentral's name for it is "partial 16S ribosomal RNA". It matches the Rfam family "Bacterial small subunit ribosomal RNA", at positions 92 to 334 of the family's 1533-position model. The record is from RNAcentral.
CGAGUGGCGGACGGGUGAGUAAUGCAUAGGAAUCUGCCCUAUAUGGGGGACAACCUGGGGAAACUCAGGCUAAUACCGCAUAAUCUCUACGGAGGAAAGGCUUCGGCCGCUAUUGGAUGAGCCUAUGUCAGAUUAGCUUGUUGGUGGGGUAAAGGCCUACCAAGGCGACGAUCUGUAGCUGGUUUGAGAGAACGAUCAGCCACACUGGGACUGAGACACGGCCCAG